This 329-nucleotide long non-coding RNA is filed under the name Salmo salar (Atlantic salmon). RNAcentral's name for it is "lncRNA (ENSSSAG00000121710.1)". Lineage: Eukaryota; Metazoa; Chordata; Actinopteri; Salmoniformes; Salmonidae. The record is from RNAcentral.
CUCAUCAUCAAGCUUCAAGUGAGACCUUGUAACUGGAGAUUCCUUCAGAACGAUUGCCUACAGUUACCGUGUAGGGCACUGCAAGGUUGGGUGACCAGGGUCAUCUGGGACUGCCUCCUGGAGGAAUUCAGGUGUGUGAAGGCUACCUGUGUCCUGCGUAACUUCAUGAGGAUGGACACGAGGACCAGGAGGGGAUCUGCAGCUCGCCGCCGUGUGCCAGAGGAGGAGUCUGCUGCUCUGCAGGAAGUUUCAAGGAUGGGGUCCAACAACGCAGCAAGAGAGGCAAUCCGUGUGCAGGAGAUCUUCACCUCCUACUUCUUCAAAGAGGG